Molecule: long non-coding RNA, 703 nt
Organism: Raphanus sativus (radish)
Lineage: Eukaryota; Viridiplantae; Streptophyta; Magnoliopsida; Brassicales; Brassicaceae
Exons: 2
Source: RefSeq, a predicted model, not a curated record
CAUGGAUUUUGGACUAAUUAAAACAAAGACUUCCUUUUUUUCCUCAACUUUUCUCUAAUAAUAAUAUAUUAAUAACAUCUCAAAAAACACAUAAAAUAGAACUCGAUGAACAUUCGCCGGAAAUAUAAAAUAGUGGUGGUGCUCUGUCUCCGUCGAAGCAAUAACAUAUGAGAUUUGUAAGUUGUAUUAUACAUUGAUGAGAAUUGACUCUGUUGGUGCUUUCCUUUGUGGCUCCUUUUCAGAUCUUCAGAUCUCCGGCGACCACGCGCACGUCUUCUUCGCGAGACCCUCCGUUCAGUGCCUCACUCCGAAUCUGACCCUAUUGUUCGAGCUAGACCAGAGGAAGUUGAUUCCAUCGGAUUUUAUUUCUGGCUUUUGGAGAGUUUGUAAUGGAUGAGAAAGCAAUUCAAGUGGAGAACGUUUUCUUAAAGUUACUCAAGAGAUAAACUGCCUCGCUCUAUCUAGAUUCUUCUUGAGUCUGUGAUUUGUAAAUGUGAUCACUUCCAAGUGACCAAUGACGAUGUUAAGAAGACAAUUGACUGGGGAAAAACAGCUCCUAAACAAGUUUCUUUUUGAGUGACUUAUGUCGUAAAUCUCUCUUAGUAUUUUCCUUCUUUUUCCAGCUCUGAUUUUUCAUUACUCCCUUAUUUUAUUGUACCAUGCUGUCCACGCCCAUGGUUAUGAAUAUUAUAAUUCAACGAUC